Long non-coding RNA from Haliotis rubra (blacklip abalone), 1069 nucleotides. RefSeq lists it as uncharacterized. The transcript is spliced from 5 exons. The record is from RefSeq and is a predicted model, not a curated record. Lineage: Eukaryota; Metazoa; Mollusca; Gastropoda; Lepetellida; Haliotidae.
UGGAAAAGCUGAAGUGUUACUGCUACUUAGAGCGUGAUAUAACUUUAAAGUCAGUCACAGUUGAAUACAACCAUGAUGAGACACACAGUAACAAAACCACGGGGACCAAUAUAGGUAACAUCACCAGAUGUUUCUAACCACCUUCCAUUUAGUACAUGGACAUUAAAUGAUCUGCACAAGUCUAAGAGUUGCUUCCAUAACUGUUAACGACAUUGUCCUCGCUCAGGUACAGAGGGUGGCAGUUUGCAUCAUACAUGAAGUAUUCAAGGGGUAGGUAGAGAUACAGUCAUCUUCAACGUCAUCCAUCUCACUACCAGUCCUUUAAUUCAUAUCACCACACAGUAAGGUAGUCGAUACUGUCAUCUUCAACGUCAUCCACCUCACUACCAGUCCUUGAAUUCAUAUCACCACACAGUAAUGUAGUCGAUACUGUCAUCUUCAACAUCAUCCACCUCACUACCAGUCCUUGAAUUCAUAUCACCACACAGUAAGGUAGUCGAUACUGUCAUCUUCAACGUCAUCCAUCUCACUACCAGUCCUUGAAUUCAUAUCACCACACAGUAAGGUAGUCGAUACUGUCAUCUUCAACGUCAUCCACCUCACUACCAGUCCUUGAAUUCAUAUCACCACACAGUAAGGUAGUCGAUACAAUCAUCUUCAACGUCAUCCACCUCACUACCAGUCCUUGAAUUCAUAUCACCACACAGUAAUGUAGUCGAUACUGUCAUCUUCAACAUCAUCCACCUCACUACCAGUCCUUGAAUUCAUAUCACCACACAGUAAGGUAGUCGAUACUGUCAUCUUCAACGUCAUCCAUCUCACUACCAGUCCUUGAAUUCAUAUCACCACACAGUAAGGUAGUCAAUACUGUCAUCUUCACCGUCGUCCACCUCACUACCAGUCCACACAGUAAGGUAGUCAAUACUGUCAUCUUCAACGUCAUCCAUCUCACUACCAGUCCUUGAAUUCAUAUCACCACACAGUAAGGUAGUCAAUACUGUCAUCUUCACCGUCGUCCACCUCACUACCAGUCCACACAGUAAGAUGACACUGUCAGCAUGGUCACUGU